GACGAACGCUGGCGGCGUGCCUAAUACAUGCAAGUCGAACGAGAGCAGCCGGUGCUUGCACUGGUCAAUCUAGUGGCGAACGGGUGAGUAACACGUGGGUAACCUGCCCAUCAGAGGGGGAUAACAUCCGGAAACGGAUGCUAAAACCGCAUAGGUCUUCGAACCGCAUGGUUUGAAGAGGAAAAGAGGCGCAAGCUUCUGCUGAUGGAUGGACCCGCGGUGCAUUAGCUGGUUGGUGAGGUAACGGCUCACCAAGGCCGUGAUGCAUAGCCGACCUGAGAGGGUGAUCGGCCACAUUGGGACUGAGACACGGCCCAAACUCCUACGGGAGGCAGCAGUAGGGAAUCUUCCGCAAUGGACGCAAGUCUGACGGAGCAACGCCGCGUGAGUGAAGAAGGUGUUCGGAUCGUAAAACUCUGUUGUUAGAGAAGAACAAGUGCUAGAGUAACUGUUAGCGCCUUGACGGUAUCUAACCAGAAAGCCACGGCUAACUACGUG
This 498-nucleotide ribosomal RNA is filed under the name uncultured bacterium. Its description in RNAcentral is "partial 16S ribosomal RNA". It matches the Rfam family "Bacterial small subunit ribosomal RNA", at positions 28 to 507 of the family's 1533-position model. The record is from RNAcentral.